This 453-nucleotide ribosomal RNA is filed under the name uncultured bacterium. RNAcentral's name for it is "bacterial SSU rRNA". It matches the Rfam family "Bacterial small subunit ribosomal RNA", at positions 8 to 507 of the family's 1533-position model. The record is from RNAcentral.
AGAGUUUGAUCCUGGCUCAGAACGAACGCUGGCGGCAUGCCUAACACAUGCAAGUCGAACGAGACCUUCGGGUCUAGUGGCGCACGGGUGCGUAACGCGUGGGAAUCUGCCCUUGGGUUCGGAAUAACAGCGAGAAAUUGCUGCUAAUACCGGAUGAUGACGUAAGUCCAAAGAUUUAUCGCCCAAGGAUGAGCCCGCGUAGGAUUAGCUAGUUGGUGAGGUAAAGGCUCACCAAGGCGACGAUCCUUAGCUGGUCUGAGAGGAUGAUCAGCCACACUGGGACUGAGACACGGCCCAGACUCCUACGGGAGGCAGCAGUGGGGAAUAUUGGACAAUGGGCGAAAGCCUGAUCCAGCAAUGCCGCGUGAGUGAUGAAGGCCUUAGGGUUGUAAAGCUCUUUUACCCGGGAUGAUAAUGACAGUACCGGGAGAAUAAGCCCCGGCUAACUCCGUG